GAGGAUGUGAAGGAGGCUUUGAACUGGGGGAAAAGGCAGCAAUGAGGUGUGGCUGUAGCCCAGGAAUAGUCAGGGAAGCAGAUAAUUUAAAUUUAGUUAAAGUGUCUCGGCCUAAUAAGGGAACAGGGCAGGUGGGGAUAACUAAAAAGGAGUGCUUAAAAGAGUAUUGUCUAAGUUGGCACCAGAGUUGAGGAGUUUUAAGAGGUUUAGAAGCCUGGCCGUCAGUACCUGCAAUAGUUACGGAGGCAAGGGAAACAAGCCUUUGAAAAGAAGGUAAUGUGGAGUGGGUUGCCUCUGUAUUGAUUAAGAAGGGGACAGACUUACCCUCCACUGUGAGAGUUACCCAGAGCGUCUGUGAUGGUCCUGUAGGCUUUUGAGGCGAUCUGGCAGUGUCAGUCUUCAGCUGCUAAGCUGAGAAGAUCUGGGAAGGAGUCAGAGAGCCUUGGGCCAGAGUUCUAGGGGCCCUGAGAGUGGCUGCCAGGGCUGGCAAGAUGAUCAAAGGAGGUGCGGUGUGACUCGCAAGCUGGAGAGACGGGAAAGCCUGCUCCUGAUGUGGAAAGCAUCAUUAUUAUCCCCCACUGCAGACAGCCACAGAGCGCUGGAGCUGGGAGGAACCUUCCAGAUCCCUCAGGGGCUGGACUGCUUAUCUCCACAGCAGCAGCCCCGCACCUCUGAGGCAACAAAGCUAGAAGCUGUCAUUUCAAGUGGAGAAACGCAGGCGCAGAAAAGAACCUGGAACUAGCAGCUGUUUUGGCAGCCAGAUGAGAUGCCCCCUGGGAGAGCCAUGCCUCUUGUGGAAAGGGCCUGCUCCUCCUCACCUUCAGGAAGUUCUACUAAAAUUCAGUAAUCUUACUAGGCAGUAAGAUUCAGGACAUAGGCAUGGGCAAGGACUUCAUGUCUAAAACACCAAAAGCAAUGGCAACAAAAGACAAAAUUGACAAAUGGGAUCUAAUUAAACUAAA
This 962-nucleotide long non-coding RNA is filed under the name Homo sapiens (human). RNAcentral's name for it is "HSALNT0152892". Lineage: Eukaryota; Metazoa; Chordata; Mammalia; Primates; Hominidae. The record is from RNAcentral.